CCUACGGGUGGCAGCAGUGGGGAAUAUUGCGCAAUGGGCGAAAGCCUGACGCAGCGACGCCGCGUGAGGGAUGAAGGUCUUCGGAUCGUAAACCUCUGUCAGCAGGGAAGAACGGUCACUGUGCUAAUCAGCAGUGAAUUGACGGUACCUGCAAAGGAAGCACCGGCUAACUCCGUGCCAGCAGCCGCGGUAAUACGGAGGGUGCGAGCGUUAAUCGGAAUUACUGGGGGUAAAGCGGUCGUAGGCGGUAUGUCAAGUCAAGGGUGAAAUCCCCGCGCUCAACGUGGGAACUGCCUUUGAAACUGGCAAACUGGAGUGUGUGAGAGGAUAGUGGAAUUCCAGGUGUAGGAGUGAAAUGCGUAGAUAUCUGGAGGAACAUCAGUGGCGAAGGCGACUAUCUGGCACAUAACUGACGCUGAGGAGCGAAAGCGUGGGUAGCAAACAGGAUUAGAUACCCUUGUAGUC
This 465-nucleotide ribosomal RNA is filed under the name uncultured bacterium. Its description in RNAcentral is "partial 16S ribosomal RNA". It matches the Rfam family "Bacterial small subunit ribosomal RNA", at positions 338 to 795 of the family's 1533-position model. The record is from RNAcentral.